RNAcentral lists this unclassified non-coding RNA (520 nucleotides) under uncultured Glomus. Its description in RNAcentral is "SSU rRNA". It matches the Rfam family "Eukaryotic small subunit ribosomal RNA", at positions 569 to 1092 of the family's 1831-position model. Lineage: Eukaryota; Fungi; Glomeromycota; Glomeromycetes; Glomerales; Glomeraceae. The record is from RNAcentral.
AGCAGCCGCGGUAAUUCCAGCUCCAAUAGCGUAUAUUAAAGUUGUUGCAGUUAAAAGCUCGUAGUUGAAUUUCGGGGUUAGUAGGUUGGUCAUGCCUCUGGUAUGUACUGGUCUCACUGAUUCCUCCUUCCUGAUGAACCUUAAUGCCAUUUAUUUGGUGUUUUGGGGAAUUUGGACUGUUACUUUGAAAAAUUAGAGUGUUUAAAGCAAGCUAACGCUUGAAUACAUUAGCAUGGAAUAAUGAAAUAGGACGUUCGAUCCUAUUUUGUUGGUUUCUAGGAUUGACGUAAUGAUUAAUAGGGAUAGUUGGGGGCAUUAGUAUUCAAUUGUCAGAGGUGAAAUUCUUGGAUUUAUUGAAGACUAACUACUGCGAAAGCAUUUGCCAAGGAUGUUUUCAUUAAUCAAGAACGAAAGUUAGGGAUCGAAGACGAUCAGAUACCGUCGUAGUCUUAACCAUAAACUAUGCCGACUAGGGAUCGGAUGAUGUUAAUUUUUAAUGUACUCUAUUCGGCGCCGUUAC